This 497-nucleotide ribosomal RNA is filed under the name uncultured bacterium. RNAcentral describes it as "partial 16S ribosomal RNA". It matches the Rfam family "Bacterial small subunit ribosomal RNA", at positions 28 to 507 of the family's 1533-position model. The record is from RNAcentral.
GAUGAACGCUGGCGGCGUGCCUAAUACAUGCAAGUCGAGCGAACAGACGAGGAGCUUGCUCCUCUGACGUUAGCGGCGGACGGGUGAGUAACACGUGGAUAACCUACCUAUAAGACUGGGAUAACUUCGGGAAACCGGAGCUAAUACCGGAUAAUAUAUUGAACCGCAUGGUUCAAUGGUGAAAGACGGUUUUGCUGUCACUUAUAGAUGGAUCCGCGCCGCAUUAGCUAGUUGGUAAGGUAACGGCUUACCAAGGCAACGAUGCGUAGCCGACCUGAGAGGGUGAUCGGCCACACUGGAACUGAGACACGGUCCGGACUCCUACGGGAGGCAGCAGUAGGGAAUCUUCCGCAAUGGGCGAAAGCCUGACGGAGCAACGCCGCGUGAGUGAUGAAGGUCUUCGGAUCGUAAAACUCUGUUAUUAGGGAAGAACAAAUGUGUAAGUAACUAUGCACGUCUUGACGGUACCUAAUCAGAAAGCCACGGCUAACUACGUG